This 68-nucleotide transfer RNA is filed under the name Littoraria ardouiniana. Its description in RNAcentral is "tRNA-Glu". Lineage: Eukaryota; Metazoa; Mollusca; Gastropoda; Littorinimorpha; Littorinidae. The record is from RNAcentral.
AUUCUUGUGGUGUAAAAAUGGCACGUUAGAUUUUCAUUCUAAAAGAGUAAAUUGAUUUAUCAAGAAUA